AUGGAGCAAGCAGACGAAGCAUCGUCGGUGAACAAGGGGAGCCCAGAGCGGCUUACCAUCGACCAGGACGACGGCGCGUCGUGGCUGAGCCUCACGGUCGGCGCAAACGGAUCGGCGGAGGCGGCGGCAAACUGCUCCGAGCCUGAGCCUGAUCCUGAGCCCAAGCCUUCUGCUGCCCCACACAAGGUUUUCUCAUGCAACUUUUGCAUGAGGAAGUUCUUCAGCUCACAGGCGCUGGGCGGCCACCAGAACGCCCACAAGAGGGAGCGCAGCGCCGCCAAGCGCUCUUACCAUGCACAGAGGAUGGUGAUGGGGCUGCCUCUCGAGGCGCAUGCCGCCUUUGUGCAGUCCCUGCGAGUUAGCCAGAGCUCAGUGAUUCAGAAGUCCAGCCAGCCAGCACAAAUCAGGACAGCGCCAAGGUUUCAUGAAGAUGGGAUGACCUGGGCAACAAUCCCCUGCGAGGAGGUGCUCAACUCAACAUGGCCAGGAAGCUUCAGAGCGAGGACACAACCUUCAGAGCAACAACCAUCAGAACAAAGUAAGAUAGACUUGAAUCUCAGGCUUUGA
This 567-nucleotide ribosomal RNA is filed under the name Triticum aestivum (bread wheat). RNAcentral describes it as "partial small subunit ribosomal RNA". Lineage: Eukaryota; Viridiplantae; Streptophyta; Magnoliopsida; Poales; Poaceae. The record is from RNAcentral.